ACAUGCAAGUCGAACGAAGUAGCAAUACUUAGUGGCAGACGGGUGAGUAACAUGUAGGUAUCUGCCCUUUGGCCUGGAAUAACACGAGGAAACUUGUGCUAAUACCGGAUAAGUCUUUACGGAGAAAGCUUUAUGCACCAUUGGAUGAGCCUGCACUUGAUUAGUUUGUUGGUAGGGUAAUGGCCUACCAAGACUGUGAUCAAUAGCUGAUUUGAGAGGAUGAUCAGCCACAUUGGGACUGAGACACGGCCCAAACUCCUACGGGAGGCAGCAGUGGGGAAUCUUGCACAAUGGAGGAAACUCUGAUGCAGCGAUGCCGCGUGAGUGAAGAAGGCCUUUGGGUUGUAAAGCUCUUUCGUCGGGGAAGAAAAUGACUGUACCCGAAUAAGAAGGUCCGGC
RNAcentral lists this ribosomal RNA (399 nucleotides) under uncultured Pseudomonadota bacterium. Its description in RNAcentral is "bacterial SSU rRNA". It matches the Rfam family "Bacterial small subunit ribosomal RNA", at positions 53 to 497 of the family's 1533-position model. Lineage: Bacteria; Pseudomonadati; Pseudomonadota. The record is from RNAcentral.